Molecule: non-coding RNA, 792 nt
Organism: Peromyscus maniculatus bairdii (prairie deer mouse)
Lineage: Eukaryota; Metazoa; Chordata; Mammalia; Rodentia; Cricetidae
Source: RefSeq, a predicted model, not a curated record
UCCUGCAUCCCGCAUCCUCACGCGCACCCCACGACCUUGCGGCCCCUCCUAGAGGGAACAGCCAUUGCCUCAGGAGGUCCAGAUGGGGGCGGUUUGCCAAGCCCUGCUGAGCUGCGUUUAGUCUCACCGUACCCCAGCCUCCUCUGCCGCCUUCAGGCGUCGGCUCAAGGGCUAAGAAAUCAGUGGCCGAGAAACUUGACCCAGUGCACCCAGCUCCCACCCGACUCCCGCUCAAACCCAAUACUGCUGAGCACCCAGAGAAUGGAGACAGGUGACAUUCCUCUCUGGGACCUGGGCUCUCUUUGGUAGAUUGAUGCACUCUCGCCUGUCCCCAGAGGAGGAGCUAAUGGAGCGGAGCCCUAGGGGAGAUAUCUGGUGGACUCUUGCAAUAGCCAUCAAAGCGGAAGCAUCCAGAAUUCUGAUGGUUUCUGCUACUUUCAUCUUCUGUGACCUGCACGCUCCUCCGGACCCAGGGGACAAUCAGGAGGAGACUCACUUAUGCUGAACACCCAAUUACAGGCAACAUGUGUAUAUCAGAUUGGCUUCUCAAUUCCCCCAGAGAACUCUGGGCCAAAACUCUUUGCCCUUCAGUGAAGGUUUGGGUGCAGGUGUGAUAGAUGUUGGAAGCAAGGCGUUGUGGUCGCUGAGGAGGCAGUCCGCCAACGGAACACGCCAAAUGAGACCAGGAGGAGCCCCAGACAGAGAAGAGCCGCGUGAAGACCGAGACUGGAGAGACAUAGCCAGAGAAUGGGAACAGCCACCAGCGCUGGAAAAGGCCGGAACAGAUUGUCC